This 111-nucleotide ribosomal RNA is filed under the name Pantoea sp. VS1. The record is from RNAcentral. Lineage: Bacteria; Pseudomonadati; Pseudomonadota; Gammaproteobacteria; Enterobacterales; Erwiniaceae.
CCUGGCGGCAACAGCGCGGUGGUCCCACCUGACCCCAUGCCGAACUCAGAAGUGAAACGCCGUAGCGCCGAUGGUAGUGUGGGGCCUCCCCAUGCGAGAGUAGGGAACUGC